GGAUCCAUUAAUAUUUGGUGGCAAAGCAACCCAUGCACAUCUUCAUGCAGCACCCAUGCGGAUAGCAAGCAGCACACCUCCACAUAUCCACGGUGCAACACCAAACCUUCACGCAUCCAACAGCUGCCACCCACAUUCCAGCCUUCACGCACACAUCUCCACACGGUCCAGCAGAUGGCAACACAUCCAGCAAAGGGUGUAGCUCCAUGGACAUCAAGCAACUUCAAACGUAACAGUAGCAGCUCCCGCAAGCACUCCUUCACGGCCCAGCAAGGUGCAGCCUGCUGCGCAUCCAACAUCUUCAAGGACAUCAUGAUCCAGCAGCUGGAAAUCAACUUUGCAAAACACCAAACAACAGCCCAUAUUGAAGCACAUGUCACGCUCUAUGCUGCAACAAAAAGAAGCUUGUGCACGGAUGGAUGCAGCAACACGUGAAUGAGAAAGAACUCUUCAUCCAGCUACUUUGUAAGAGCCCACACUGCAGCAACGUUUUUAUUCUCCACCACACAACUGCAGUUCACGG
Molecule: long non-coding RNA, 523 nt
Filed under: Vigna radiata
Lineage: Eukaryota; Viridiplantae; Streptophyta; Magnoliopsida; Fabales; Fabaceae
Description: long non-coding RNA (VRAD_LNC000599)
Source: RNAcentral